AGGCAACGAGCGAGACCCACGCCCACAGGUUGCCAGCGUACUCUCUGGAGUGACGGGUACACUGUGGGGACCGCCGGCUGCUAAAGCGGAGGAAGGAAUGGGCAACGGUAGGUCAGUAUGCCCCGAAUAUCCCGGGCUACACGCGAGCUACAAUGGUUGGUACAAUGGGUAUCUACCCCGAAAGGGGACGGGAAUCUCCUAAAACCAAUCUUAGUUCGGAUUGAGGGCUGCAACUCGCCCUCAUGAAGCUGGAAUCCGUAGUAAUCGCGUUUCAACAGAACGCGGUGAAUACGUCCCUGCUCCUU
RNAcentral lists this ribosomal RNA (305 nucleotides) under uncultured Methanosaeta sp. RNAcentral's name for it is "bacterial SSU rRNA". It matches the Rfam family "Archaeal small subunit ribosomal RNA", at positions 1036 to 1338 of the family's 1478-position model. Lineage: Archaea; Methanobacteriati; Methanobacteriota; Methanomicrobia; Methanotrichales; Methanotrichaceae. The record is from RNAcentral.